RNAcentral lists this ribosomal RNA (275 nucleotides) under uncultured bacterium. RNAcentral's name for it is "partial 16S ribosomal RNA". It matches the Rfam family "Bacterial small subunit ribosomal RNA", at positions 338 to 612 of the family's 1533-position model. The record is from RNAcentral.
CCUACGGGUGGCUGCAGUAAGGAAUAUUGCGCAAUGGACGAAAGUCUGACGCAGCAACGCCGCGUGCAGGAUGAAGGCCCUCUGGGUUGUAAACUGCUGUAGCAAGGGACUAAUGCCCGUCUCGGACGGGAGGGAAUGUACCUUGAAAGUAAGCGCCGGCUAACUACGUGCCAGCAGCCGCGGUAAUACGUAGGGCGCAAGCGUUGUCCGGAUUCACUGGGUGUAAAGGGUGCGCAGGCGGAUUCGUAAGUCAGAGGUGAAAUCUCACGGCUUAA